UUUCUAAGAUGUUGAAUAUCUUAGGGAGCCAGUGCAAACGCAACAGUUUUGUCGGGCCUAUCUGACGUGUAAUCAGGUAGCCUCACAGGUCUGUUGCGUGUGCUUUUAUUUGACGGAUUCUAACUGAAUUGGUAGCACAUGAACCCCAUAAUAAUGAACAUGUUACAGCGCAAGCUGGGAUAUACCUUUACAC
Xenorhabdus cabanillasii JM26 is the source of this 193-nucleotide non-coding RNA. Lineage: Bacteria; Pseudomonadati; Pseudomonadota; Gammaproteobacteria; Enterobacterales; Morganellaceae. The record is from Rfam.